UGAUAUGAUGAACAUUCAAAUGAAAUGGUAGAUCCAGAUUACAAUAUCUUCUGGAUAUGACUAUUCACAUACACUGAAAAUUCUGAU
RNAcentral lists this small nucleolar RNA (87 nucleotides) under Aspergillus fumigatus Af293. Its description in RNAcentral is "Aspergillus fumigatus snoRNA Afu4g06775". Lineage: Eukaryota; Fungi; Ascomycota; Eurotiomycetes; Eurotiales; Aspergillaceae. The record is from RNAcentral.